This 497-nucleotide ribosomal RNA is filed under the name Nitrospiraceae bacterium. RNAcentral's name for it is "bacterial SSU rRNA". It matches the Rfam family "Bacterial small subunit ribosomal RNA", at positions 69 to 765 of the family's 1533-position model. Lineage: Bacteria; Pseudomonadati; Nitrospirota; Nitrospiria; Nitrospirales; Nitrospiraceae. The record is from RNAcentral.
ACAUAUGUUUUAGUUUCGAGUGCUUCGCAUCGGUUAGUGGCGAACGGGUGAGUAACACGUAGUUAAGCUACCCUCGAGAGCGGGACAACCCAGGGAAACUUGGGCUAAUACCGCAUAAGACCACGAACUGGGAUGUUAGUGGUAAAAGCAGCAAUGCGCUAGGGGAUGUGACUGCGGCCUAUCAGGUAGUUGGUGGGGUAAAGGCCCACCAAGCCAAAGACGGGUAGCCGGACUGAGAGGUCGAACGGCCACACUGGAACUGAGACNNAGCGUUGUUCGGAAUUACUGGGCUUAAAGGGCGCGUAGGCGUUUCAAUAAGUCAGAUGUGGAAUCCUUAGGCUUAACCUAAGAAUUGCAUUUGAAACUGUUGGGAUUGAGUAAGGCUGGGGAGGGCAGAAUUCCUGGUGUAGCGGUGAAAUGCGUAGAUAUCAGGAGGAAGGCCAGUGGCGAAGGUGGCCCUCUAGGCCUUAACUGACGCUGAGGCGCGAAAGCGUGGG